RNAcentral lists this long non-coding RNA (2135 nucleotides) under Homo sapiens (human). RNAcentral describes it as "non-protein coding lnc-SLC10A5-1:2". Lineage: Eukaryota; Metazoa; Chordata; Mammalia; Primates; Hominidae. The record is from RNAcentral.
CUUUCGUAAGCAAUGACGCCAGCCACUUAGUCCAUUGCAAAAUAACUGAUGGUCCUGGAUAUUUAAUCAUGUUAAUGCAGUCUGUUUCUUAACUAAAGAAAAAUGGGUGCCCUUUAAAGUUUUUUUUUUUUUUUAAAGAUUAGGAAACAGGAAGUCAGAAGAAGCAAAAUUAGACCUCCUAAGGUAGAUGCCUAAUGAUUUACCAUCAAAAUUCAAAAUUUUCCUUGUUUUAUGAGAGGAAUGAGCAGGAGCAUUGUCUUAGUGGAGAAGCAAUCUCUGGUGAAGCUUACCUGGGCAUUUUUCUGCUAAAACUUUGGCUGUCUCUAAACAUUCUCAUAUUUUUUUUUUCUUUUUGUAGAGAUAGGUCUUGCUAUGUUGCCCAGACUGGUCUUGAACUCCUGGCCUCAAUGGAUCCUCCUGCCUUGGCCACCAAAAGUGCUGAGACUACAGGCAUAAGCCACUGUACCCAGCCUCAUAACACCUUUAUAAUAAGCAGACGUUAUUGUUCUUUGGCUCUCCAGAAAGUCAACAAGAAAAAUGCUUUGAGCAUCCCAAAAAAUAGUUGCCAUGACCUUGCUUUUGACUAGUCCACUUUUAUUUUGACUGGACCACUUCCACCUCUUGGUAGCUAUUGCUCUGUUUGUGCUUUGUUUUCGGGAUUAUUCUGGUAAAGCCAUGUUUCAUCUCCUGUUACAAUUCUUGGAAGAAAUCCUUCAGGAUCUUGAUCCCACUUGUUUAAAAUUUUUAUUGAAAGACAACUGAAAUUUUAAGUAGAAAACCCACCAGGAGAACAAAAGUACUCUUGUCUGUAGCUGAUCUGGGUGCAAUAGUUUCGGUACCCAUCAAGUGGAAAGUUUGCUCAAGUUUAAUUUUUCUGUCAGCAUUGUGUAAGCUGAACCAACUGAGACAUCUAUGAUGUUGGAUAUUGUAUUAGUCCAUUCUCACACUGCUAUAAAGAACUACAUGAGGUCGGGCGUGGUGGCUCACACCUGUAAUCCCAGCACUUUGGGAGGCCAAGACAGGUGGAUCACCUGAGAUCAGGAGUUCGAGACAAACCUGGCCAACAUGGUGAAACCCCAUAUCUACUAAAAAUACAAAAAUUUGCUGGGCAUGAUGACAAACACCUGUAAUCCCUGCUACUCACAAGGCUGAGGCAGGAGAAUCACUUGAACCUGGGAGGCGGAGCUUGCAGUGAACCGAGAGAGCACCACUGCAUUCCAGUCUGGGUGACAAGAGUGAAACUCUGUCCUCCCAAAAAAGAAUUACCUGAGAGUGCGUACUGUAUAAAGAAAAGAAGCUUGACUCAGUUCCACAGGCUCUACAGGAAGCAUGGCUGGGAGGCUCAGGAAACUUAAAAUCAUGGGAGAAGGGGAAGAAAGCACAUCUUCACAUGGCCAGCAGGAGACAGCAAGUGAAGAGGGAGGUGCUACACACUUUCAAACAACCAGAUCUUGUGAGAACUCUAUCAUGGGACAGCACUAGGGCGAUGGUGCUAAACCAUCAGAAGCCAUGCACAUGAUCCAAUCAUCUCCCUCCAUGUCCCUCCUCCAACACUUCCUGUCAUUACACUUCUGCAUGAGAUUUGGGUGGGGACACACAGCCAAACCUCACCAUAAAUUUGAUGUGUGUUCUUCCUUCAAUUUUAGCAGAAUUUAUGUUUCUCUGAUAAAAGAGCUCUUUUCUAAAUGUCUUAUCAUAGUUAGUGUCCCUCACUAGAUCCUGUUCAGACAUGUUACAAAAAGUUUAUUCUGGUGCAAAAAAAAAAUUGAAAUUCAUACACACUUUUUUAUAAUACAUAUUUUCCAUGAAAAUUUAGAAGAACACUUAUAUAGAUGAAUGAUAGAUUAUCAAAGUUUUCCUAGAUUUGUCAGGCUUUGUUCUUCACGGUUUUCAAAUGAAAGGGCCUGGAGAAACCGAAGAACUAAAAGGGUUGCAGAAAGAGUCCUAAGGGGAAAGAAAAACUGAUAUACUCACAUCUUCGACCUAGGCAACAAAAGUUAUGAGUCAAGAUAUUUGGUCACAUAACUAAAGAUAACUUAGGUUUUAUGACAUUUUUGUUUUUUGUUUUGUUUUUGUCAGUUAAAAUAGGGAAAUUUUAACUGAAAUAUCAAUGAACAGUCCCAUUCCCUAUCCUC